UUUUCUUUUUCUACACAUACGAUGAGAUAUAUAUAGAGAGAUAUGGAGCAAAACCCCAUCGCCCACCACUACACCACCCGACGACGGCGAUGAGUGAACUCCACCGCUUCACAGUCCUACCAACCAACGAUGACGCUGAGUGAAUAGCCGGCUCUCUGGCGGCUAGGGUUCCGCUGGAAACCCGACAAAGGAGAUGAUCGGAGGUUGUCGGCUCUUCUGCGUGCUCUUGUCCUGGUUCUUCAAUUUUUGGUCAGAUCUAAUUCACAUAGUAAAGGGAUUUUAGAUUUCAUCUGGCUUGAUGGUCCAAUUUCCCUAUUUUGAAAGGGUAAAAGAAAAGAGAAAAAACUCACAAGCAGCGAACCAUAGGAUGGAGGUAGUAGGAGGCGUCAAUCGAACCAGAAAAACCAGAUAAAAUAGAUGACCAUGAGCAGCGAAACUUCAUGCGAUUUAAUCACAAGCAUCAGACCAAACUAGAAGCAAAAAUCAGGUCCAUCACACAUAUGUAGCUGCUAGAUCUUAUGGUGCUUUUAAAAGGUCCCAAGCGUGGAAAACCAUCCGACGUAUUGAGAAUGAGGCAGAUGCUCAUAAAACUUAAGCACCACAGCCCUCUUCACCUUAAAUAAAUGACACUGCCGCCUGCUGAUAUGUAUGUCAAGGCCGAUGCAGCUAAAGUUCCUAUUGUUGUUGCUUAAGUGUGUUAAUGGUGUUUCUGUCACCUCUCAGUUUUGUCAAUAUAUAAUAGUUCAUUGAGGGAGGAUUUCGAGUUUUAGACGUGAAUGUAAGGGUGUCCGGGGCACCUUAGGUGACCCCUUUAGGUGACUCCAUUCACCUAUUAGGUGAGCAUUGCCAACACUUAGGUGAGUUAGAGAGAGAGUAGAGAGAGAGGGUGAAAUAGGUGGGGAGUUGCCGAGAGAGGGGAGGAGAGAGGGAGGAGAGAGGGAGAUCUUGACCAAUCAAUGCUUUUCUUCUUUUUUUUUUUUUUUUUUUUUUAAAAAAAAAACAAUUCACCUAAGAGGGGAGUGCCGCCAUCAAAAAGGGGUAUUAGGGGAGUGUUAGAGGGGAGUUGACGUGGCAUUUUAUGGUUGGUUAUGUGUAAGAGGGGGGACUCACCUAAGAGGUGAGCACCCCUUACACCCUAACUAUGACAUUUUUUUGGAUCCAAAGAAAUUGUCGAUGUGACUUCGUUUAAUAGAGGUUCGGCUUUCUAUAAAUACAAACCUAAUUAACACCGCAUCCCGCCGCAUUGCGGCGGGUAGUAUAUCUAGUUAUUCACGAAAUAGCAAUAUAGAGAUGGCUGGUCAACAAAUUCGU
This 1311-nucleotide long non-coding RNA is filed under the name Helianthus annuus (common sunflower). Its description in RNAcentral is "hypothetical non coding rna". The record is from RNAcentral. Lineage: Eukaryota; Viridiplantae; Streptophyta; Magnoliopsida; Asterales; Asteraceae.